GAUGAACGCUGGCGGCGUGCUUAACACAUGCAAGUCGAACGAAGCACUUUAUUUGAUUUCCUUCGGGACUGAUUAUUUUGUGACUGAGUGGCGGACGGGUGAGUAACGCGUGGGUAACCUGCCUUGUACAGGGGGAUAACAGUUGGAAACGGCUGCUAAUACCGCAUAAGCGCACGGCAUCGCAUGAUGCAGUGUGAAAAACUCCGGUGGUAUAAGAUGGACCCGCGUUGGAUUAGCUAGUUGGUGAGGUAACGGCCCACCAAGGCGACGAUCCAUAGCCGACGUGAGAGGGUGACCGGCCACAUUGGGACUGAGGCACGGCGCAAACUCCUACGGGAGGCAGCAGUGGGGAAUAUUGCACAAUGGGCGAAAGCCUGAUGCAGUGACGCCGCGUGAGCGAAGAAGUAUUGCGGUAUGUAAAGCUCUAUCAGCAGGGAAGAUAAUGACGGUACCUGACUAAGAAGCACCGGCUAAAUACGUG
RNAcentral lists this ribosomal RNA (481 nucleotides) under uncultured bacterium. RNAcentral describes it as "partial 16S ribosomal RNA". It matches the Rfam family "Bacterial small subunit ribosomal RNA", at positions 28 to 507 of the family's 1533-position model. The record is from RNAcentral.